CGCUUUUGACCGGACCAUCUGAUUAGUGCAGACUGGCCUAUAGUAUGAGCCCAAUAAUGAUUUUAGCUUUAAGUGUACCUUAUUUGGUCCCAACAUGUUUAAAAUGUUCCUUGUGCCUGUUACAGCAGCACAUACAUCCGCAGAAUAUUGACACGACUGUCGCAGGAUGAUGUGUUUGCUGCAGAUGCCAUUUAAAAAUAUAGGCAGUGUAAGCACUGUAGAAUCUAAUUAUUUCUUUGCAAAACCUAAUUAGGCAUUAAAAAAGGUUAACGCCAGCGCCUGAAACGUUUUUGUUUAAUAAUCCCAUUACUGCCGGCUCAUCAUGUAUAAAAUGGUGCAGGAGGACACUAUGUUUCCACUCGUUUAUGGGAAUCUCUGAGAAAUAGUCGCAGAUUUUUUGACUCUUUUCUGCGACUGGAAAUUAGGGCUUUGCAUAAAAACUACGAAGACUGAGCUCAGCGCAGGACGGAAGCUUCCUGGAAGGCUGUGAUUGGCUGCCUGUCCGGGCAGCGAUAGCAGCCCUGGAGCCGAGGAUGAUUGAUGACGUUGGGGGCAAGGCCGAGCACCGGCAGCAUAAAGCCCCAUAGACGCCUCAAUAAAGAGGCUGGCUAUAGUGGAGAGCCCAGGCCCCGCUCAAUAGGGCCCCUCCGCCUCUGAGGACCCACGGCGUGCAGAGGAGUGCAUGGAGACAGGCAGAGGAAGAGAGGGAGAGAUGCUCUGUUGUUGGAUAAUCUGUUUAGCUAUCGAGCCAGCAGUCGUCUGAGGCUGGAUAAGUGCAGCAGCGGAUGUGUGUGGGGUGAGAAUAGCAGGGGCUGGCUGGUGAAGCGCUGGAGGGAGACAAACAGAGAAAGAGAGAAGAGAUACAUCAUCCAGUCCCAGAAGGCAUUAUGGGAAAAAGAGGAAGCUAAAAAUGAGAUCUGCAGUCUGCUUUCUGUGCACGCUGCUGUUAUCAUCAAAGACCAAAAAAGUUCAUCCGCAGAAAGCUGCCACUCCGGUGGCCAUUGUUGAGUGUGCAAAUGCAGAACUGCAGUGACCUUUGCUUCCGAGGAUCACUGAGGCCCCCGUAGGUUGGAUUCCUUCAGUGCUGGGUCCACGGCUGGGCCCCCAGACCACAUGCAGCACCCCCCAGUUCACAGCAGUGCUGAAAAACACAAUUAGGCAGCAAUCAUCUCCUAUGGGUCAGCUCUUAGUGAUCCAGCAUGGCUACAUGGUGUCCUGCAGACUGUCCUGGCUGGAGCUGCUGGAUGGAGCUCUGAGAGAGUGAUGUGUUGAGGAGGAUGUAGAAGGUCAGUUUAACCCAAUCCUUUUCCAUUUGGAUUUCAAGAUUUAAAAAAGGACUGCAAAUAAGAAAGAACCAGAAUGAAGAGGUUUAAACUGCUUUGUUUAAUGUUUUACCUGUAAAGAAGAUUGAUUUUUUUGGUGUAAUAUUUCCCUUUUUCUGCUGUUUCUGAAAAUAACAUACAUAAAGUUUUGUCAAAUGAAA
Molecule: long non-coding RNA, 1483 nt
Organism: Oryzias melastigma (Indian medaka)
Lineage: Eukaryota; Metazoa; Chordata; Actinopteri; Beloniformes; Adrianichthyidae
Exons: 2
Source: RefSeq, a predicted model, not a curated record